AAAAAACAGUUUUAGAACACAUAUUUCUUUGGGGUUUAAACAUGUACAACAUACAAGACAACACUCAGAGCACCACAAAAACAACCUUGCAACAUAAACACACAAUUGUAACAUACGCCCAUGAUCAUCCAUGUUGUCCAUGUGUUUGCAGCAAAACACCAGAGGGAGAGCAUAUCAUGCCUAUCUUAUGCGUUCAGUUUGGAUGCUAACAACCAUUUCUAUACUGACUAGUAAGUUGCACGUGCGUUGCAACGGAACAUUUUUUUUAAUGUUCAAGGUGAUAAUGAAGACGAAGAUCAACCAUUAAUAAAAGUUGAAGAAUGAAGAUUUUCUUUUGGAAGAAUGAAAAUUUUGAAUUUCGGUCAUUCAUAAGAUAUGUCACAUAAAUUAAAAUGGAAA
Molecule: long non-coding RNA, 399 nt
Filed under: Hordeum vulgare
Lineage: Eukaryota; Viridiplantae; Streptophyta; Magnoliopsida; Poales; Poaceae
Description: long non-coding RNA (HVUL_LNC000357)
Source: RNAcentral